UACGUAGGUGGCAAGCGUUUGUCCGGAUUUACUGGGCGUAAAGAGCGCGCAGGCGGUCGUUCAAGUCGCGUGUGAAAGCCCCCGGCUCAACUGGGGAGGGUCACGCGAUACUGAUCGACUCGAAGGCAGGAGAGGGUAGUGGAAUUCCCGGUGUAGUGGUGAAAUGCGUAGAUAUCGGGAGGAACACCAGUGGCGAAGGCGACUACCUGGCCUGUUUCUUGACGCUGAGGCGCGAAAGCUAGGGGAGCAACGGGG
This 255-nucleotide ribosomal RNA is filed under the name uncultured bacterium. RNAcentral describes it as "partial 16S ribosomal RNA". It matches the Rfam family "Bacterial small subunit ribosomal RNA", at positions 524 to 776 of the family's 1533-position model. The record is from RNAcentral.